Molecule: ribosomal RNA, 253 nt
Filed under: uncultured bacterium
Lineage: Bacteria
Description: partial 16S ribosomal RNA
Rfam family: Bacterial small subunit ribosomal RNA
Source: RNAcentral
UACGGAGGGGGCUAGCGUUGUUCGGAAUUACUGGGCGUAAAGCGCACGUAGGCGGCUUUGUAAGUUAGAGGUGAAAGCCCGGAGCUCAACUCCGGAACUGCCUUUAAGACUGCAUCGCUUGAAUCAUGGAGAGGUCAGUGGAAUUCCGAGUGUAGAGGUGAAAUUCGUAGAUAUUCGCAAGAACACCAGUGGCGAAGGCGGCUCACUGGCCCGGUACUGACGCUGAGGUGCGAAAGCGUGGGGAGCAAACAGG